This 28-nucleotide non-coding RNA is filed under the name Mus musculus (house mouse). Lineage: Eukaryota; Metazoa; Chordata; Mammalia; Rodentia; Muridae. The record is from RNAcentral.
UUGACCCGAUUCCUCCCGUGGAUGCUGU